RNAcentral lists this ribosomal RNA (305 nucleotides) under uncultured bacterium. Its description in RNAcentral is "bacterial SSU rRNA". It matches the Rfam family "Bacterial small subunit ribosomal RNA", at positions 336 to 634 of the family's 1533-position model. The record is from RNAcentral.
CGCCUACGGGGGGCAGCAGUAGGGAAUUUUCGUCAAUGGGCGCAAGCCUGAACGAGCAAUGCCGCGUGAACGAGGAAGGUCUUCGGAUCGUAAAGUUCUGUUGAAGGGGAAAAAGAGCGGAGAGAGGAAAUGGUCUCCGAUUGAUAUUACCCUUCGAGGAAGUCACGGCUAACUACGUGCCAGCAGCCGCGGUAAUACGUAGGUGGCGAGCGUUAUCCGGAAUGAUUGGGUUUAAAGGGUGCGCAGGCGGCACGGCAAGCCGGCGGUCAAAUCGCGGGGCUCAACCCCGCCCAGCCGUCGGAACG